Long non-coding RNA from Notolabrus celidotus (New Zealand spotty), 1316 nucleotides. RefSeq lists it as uncharacterized. The transcript has 3 exons. The record is from RefSeq and is a predicted model, not a curated record. NCBI's taxonomy places the organism in Eukaryota, Metazoa, Chordata, Actinopteri, Labriformes, Labridae.
GCUUCUUUUAGCGUCAGGUCUCACCCACAGUGACAAAGCCCUGGCACUUCACAAGUACAACCGCAUCUCUUGGUGGAGCACUUCCUCUUACACAGAACUUAAAGUUGUUUGUUGCAGCAAUAAAAAACGUCCCUCUAACUUAUAAGUAAUUAUCACAGACAUAUAUAGUAAAAAUUGAAGGCUGAAGCUGUGAUUGGUUGUGUACGUCUUUACUCUGCUCUAAUCUGAUUGGCUGUGGUCAAAUAUUCACGACACAAGGGAAGGCUGUUUGUGAGAUAUAAGAAGACACUAAUACGUCCGUUGGUAUCGAACCCUUCCAGACGAACAGAGCACACUUCACAGGACGGAGGUCAACUAUUGAGAGAAGACAAAAUGAAGGUUGUUCUCCUGACUGCCGUCAUAGUCACCCUGACUCUUCUUCACGAGGGCCAAGGAGUCCCUCCGAUGUUAGAGCCCUGCAAGCAGAUGGCUAGCAUGCAAUCAUACACCGUUUUUGCCAAAUGACACAUCAUCUCAGGUAGCUUCGACAGGAACUCUUUGGUGGAGUGGGCAAGGUACCUUCAACUCAACAACCUCUGCGGCAGAGAACCCACACAAUCCUUCAUUGACGCCAAAGCAAAGGAUGUCCAGAAGAUCUGUUCCUACUCUGGCCGGCUUGUGAAAAGUGCUCCUCCGAGUCAGGGUGAUUUCUGCAUCAGUGCUUCAAUGAUGACGGUCUAUCGCGUCAAAUCUGACACUCGUUGCAAUGUUUCAGAUGCAAUACCUGUCAGUCAGUAUGUGGUCGUUAGAUGUGCUGCGGUUAAUAGAACCUGCCGGCCGAUCCAUUAUGAAGCUUACAGAAACCAAAUGCCGGACAAAGAACAUUGCACUUCUCCACAGUAGGGGUAGGAUUAGAGCAAAAUUCUCUCCAACUGUCAGGCUGAUGAUUUCCUGACAUCUAAAGAACAUAUCAAGCUUUGCUUAAUGAAUGAUUCUAGCUAAUACAGCAUGAAUAAAUACUGAUAUGCCUUUUGUGUGGUUUUUCAACUCGUCCUCAUUUGAGCCUGUUUCAACAACAUUUUACAGGAUGAGCUUAAUGUCAGGGAAACAAGAGAUUUUAACAGCUUGGCAGCACAACUAUCAUGCUCAGUAGAGAUAAUGUAACCAAAAUCAGUUCUUGAUUAGAUUUCUGUACUUGGACUUUUUUAUUUUAAGCUGAAACUAAUUUGAAACAACAUUCAAGUACAUGAAUGAAUCUUCUCAUGAUUUCUAUCAGUUUGCAAUGUGUUGAUUAUCUGUUUGCUUUGCAUACCACAAAAAUAAAUGCCUGAAACCUG